This 393-nucleotide ribosomal RNA is filed under the name uncultured fungus. RNAcentral describes it as "partial small subunit ribosomal RNA". It matches the Rfam family "Eukaryotic small subunit ribosomal RNA", at positions 30 to 432 of the family's 1831-position model. Lineage: Eukaryota; Fungi. The record is from RNAcentral.
GCUUGUCUCAAAGAUUAAGCCAUGCAUGUCUCAGUGUAAACACUAGUCUUGUGAAACUGCGAAUGGCUCAUUAUAUCAGUAAUGAUGUCUUUGAUGUUGUUUGGCACAUGGAUAACUGUGCGAAACGUAGAGCUAAUACAUGCAUAGAAUCCCGCGUGAGGGAGGCAUUUAUUAGGUAGCAACCAACCCGGCUCGUCCGGCGUGGCUGACUCAUGAUAACUUGGCAAACCACAGGACCAUUUGGUCAGUGGGUCAUCAUUCCAAUUUCUGCCCUAUCAGCUUUCGAUGGUAGUGUAGUGGACUACCAUGGCGUUCACGGGUAACGGAGAAUUAGGGUUCGAUUCCGGAGAGGGAGCCUGAGAAAUGGCUACCACAUCCAAGGAAGGCAGCAGG